UGGCUCAGGACGAACGCUGGCGGCGUGCUUAACACAUGCAAGUCGAACGGGGAUAUGCGAGCGGAAGGCUUCGGCCGGAAGGUUGCAUAUUCGAGUGGCGGACGGGUGAGUAACGCGUGAACAAUCUGUCCCAGACAGGGGGAUAACACUUGGAAACAGGUGCUAAUACCGCAUAAGACCACGGAGUCGCAUGGCACUGGGGUAAAAGGAGCAAUCCGGUUUGGGGUGAGUUCGCGUCCGAUUAGCCAGUUGGUGAGGUAACGGCCCACCAAAGCGACGAUCGGUAGCCGACCUGAGAGGGUGAUCGGCCACAUUGGAACUGAGAGACGGUCCAAACUCCUACGGGAGGCAGCAGGUGGGGAAUAUUGGGCAAUGGGCGAAAGCCCUGACCCAGCAACGCCGCGUGAGUGAAGAAGGCCUUCGGGUUGUAAAGCUCUGUUAUAGGGGACGAAGGAAGUGACGGUACCCUAUAAGGAAGCCCCGGCUAACUACGUGCCAGCAGCCGC
Molecule: ribosomal RNA, 506 nt
Filed under: uncultured bacterium
Lineage: Bacteria
Description: bacterial SSU rRNA
Rfam family: Bacterial small subunit ribosomal RNA
Source: RNAcentral